This 303-nucleotide ribosomal RNA is filed under the name uncultured bacterium. RNAcentral's name for it is "partial 16S ribosomal RNA". It matches the Rfam family "Bacterial small subunit ribosomal RNA", at positions 507 to 808 of the family's 1533-position model. The record is from RNAcentral.
AGCAGUCGCCGCGGUAAUACGUAGGUCCCGAGCGUUGUCCGGAUUUAUUGGGCGUAAAGGGAGCGCAGGCGGUUUAGUAAGUCUGAAGUUAAAGGCAUUGGCUCAACCAAUGUAUGCUUUGGAAACUGUUAGACUUGAGUGCAGAAGGGGAGAGUGGAAUUCCAUGUGUAGCGGUGAAAUGCGUAGAUAUAUGGAGGAACACCGGUGGCGAAAGCGGCUCUCUGGUCUGUCACUGACGCUGAGGCUCGAAAGCGUGGGUAGCGAACAGGAUUAGAUACCCCUGUAGUCCCUGUCUCUUAUACA